GAUGAACGCUAGCUACAGGCUUAACACAUGCAAGUCGAGGGGAAACGGCAUUAAGUGCUUGCACUUUUUGGACGUCGACCGGCGCACGGGUGAGUAACGCGUAUCCAACCUUCCCAUGACUAAGGGAUAACCUGCCGAAAGGCAGACUAAUACCUUAUGGUCUUCACUGACGGCAUCAGAUGUGAAGUAAAGAUUUAUCGGUUAUGGAUGGGGAUGCGUCUGAUUAGCUUGUUGGCGGGGUAACGGCCCACCAAGGCAACGAUCAGUAGGGGUUCUGAGAGGAAGGUCCCCCACAUUGGAACUGAGACACGGUCCAAACUCCUACGGGAGGCAGCAGUGAGGAAUAUUGGUCAAUGGGCGAGAGCCUGAACCAGCCAAGUAGCGUGCAGGAUGACGGCCCUAUGGGUUGUAAACUGCUUUUGGAUGGGGAUAAAGUCAAUCACGUGUGAUUGUUUGCAGGUACCAUACGAAUAAGAACCGGCUAAUUCCGUG
RNAcentral lists this ribosomal RNA (492 nucleotides) under uncultured bacterium. RNAcentral's name for it is "partial 16S ribosomal RNA". It matches the Rfam family "Bacterial small subunit ribosomal RNA", at positions 28 to 507 of the family's 1533-position model. The record is from RNAcentral.